UACGUAGGUGGCAAGCGUUAUCCGGAUUUACUGGGUGUAAGGGCGCGUAGGCGGGGAUGCAAGUCAGAUGUGGAAUCUAUGGGCUUAACUCGUAAACUGCAUUUGAAACUGUGUCUCUUGAGUGCUGGAGAGGUAGAUGGAAUUCCUUGUGUAGCGGUGAAAUGCGUAGAUAUAAGGAAGAACACCAGUGGCGAAGGCGAUCUACUGGACAGUAACUGACGCUGAGGCGCGAAAGUGUGGGGAGCAAACA
Molecule: ribosomal RNA, 250 nt
Filed under: uncultured prokaryote
Description: partial 16S ribosomal RNA
Rfam family: Bacterial small subunit ribosomal RNA
Source: RNAcentral